UACGAAGGGGGCGAGCGUUGUUCGGAAUUACUGGGCGUAAAGCGCGCGCAGGCGGCUAUCCAAGUCAGUGGUGAAAGCCCGGAGCUCAACUCCGGAACUGCCAUUGAAACUGUUUAGCUUGAGUAUGAGAGAGGUGAGUGGAAUUCCCAGUGUAGAGGUGAAAUUCGUAGAUAUUGGGAAGAACACCGGUGGCGAAGGCGGCUCACUGGCUCAUUACUGACGCUCAGGCGCGACAGCGUGGGGAUCAAACAGG
RNAcentral lists this ribosomal RNA (253 nucleotides) under uncultured bacterium. RNAcentral's name for it is "partial 16S ribosomal RNA". It matches the Rfam family "Bacterial small subunit ribosomal RNA", at positions 524 to 776 of the family's 1533-position model. The record is from RNAcentral.